AAAUGACCUCUACCAAUUAGUGGAUCUAAAAAGAUUGGAUAGGUUACUGGGAGGGUUAGCAAUAAGGUAAUACUGUAAGGUCACCUCCUUACUCUGUAAUAGCUGGAAUUUCUGCCAUACUGUUUAUUAAAGGUCAACUGGCCUUUAGAAUCAACUUCUCUGGUUUUAAAUGGCCUAUAUGACAUCGAUAUGAGUCAAACAUUAAUUAUAGUGUCAAAAUUGUGAGUUCAUCGCGACUUACUCGAGGGUUGCCAUGUGGACAUUUUGCUGUCAAGUCUGCAUGAGUGCAAUGCACGCACAUUUCGCUCUGCAAAUAGGAGUGAAAAUGGGCUUCCAUAAAGCUGAUGCCAACUUCCAUGCAUUUCAACAAUAUUGCCAGAUGGCCAGGAAUGGAUUACAUAUGACAGUCAUUUCUGAUGCCUAUCAACUGUCAAACCACUGAUGUUGUGUUGGCUUCUAUGACUGUAUGGUGACGGUCUGUGGUGACUGGAGCUGAAGUCGGGCUCCUUCAUGACCAGUAUCUAUGAUGAGUGGCCUGGAGCUGAUCUACUCUGCCAUGCCCAUCAGGCAUUGGCAAACACCUCAGAAGGGACAGAAGAUGGGCAGAUAGAUGCUUUUUAAAUGGAGUCCUUUGACUGAAAGAAAGGUUGAUACUGAUGACUGUAUUGAGAGAG
Long non-coding RNA from Oncorhynchus masou masou (cherry salmon), 674 nucleotides. RefSeq lists it as uncharacterized. The record is from RefSeq and is a predicted model, not a curated record. The transcript is spliced from 3 exons. NCBI's taxonomy places the organism in Eukaryota, Metazoa, Chordata, Actinopteri, Salmoniformes, Salmonidae.